Molecule: RNA transcript, 1643 nt
Organism: Oncorhynchus keta (chum salmon)
Lineage: Eukaryota; Metazoa; Chordata; Actinopteri; Salmoniformes; Salmonidae
Exons: 6
Source: RefSeq, a predicted model, not a curated record
GGGGCUCACAAGUUUUGUACAACUCCUUUUUGGAGUGUCUCAGGUCCAAAGUUUUUUGAAAACCACAGGGAUACAUGAUAGUGGCAACAAAUGGAGUUGGGUUGGAUAUAGUCAUGGUAGGUUAAAGUACAGUGUAUUUCGUACCAUCUUCUCUUUUGACUGGAAUUGUGUUGGUCAUUGUUAGUAAAUGCAGCAUUUAUUCAAAAUAGUGUCCUUUUUUGUUGUUGAGCAUAUGCCCUCCAGAAUGUCUGUGCAUGGCCCUGGAGCAGUCUACUGGGGCCCUGGAGUACUGGAGGUGUGGGCUGGAGCAGUGUACUGGGGCCCUGGAGUACUGGAGGUGUGGGCUGGAGCAGUGUACUGGGGCCCUGGAGUACUGGAGGUAUGGGCUGGAGCAGUCUACUGGGGCCCUGGAGUACUGGAGGUAUGGGCUGGAGCAGUCUACUGGGGCCCUGGAGUACUGGAGGUGUGGGCUGGAGCAGUCUACUGGGGCCCUGGAGUACUGGAGGUGUGGGCUGGAGCAGUGUACUGGGGCCCUGGAGUACUGGAGGUGUGGGCUGGAGCAGUGUACUGGGGCCCUGGAGUACUGGAGGUGUGGGCUGGAGCAGUGUACUGGGGCCUGGAGUACUGGAGGUGCGUAACAAAUGCCUUGGCGAGUCAGAAUGCCUGGAACAAAUGAAACAACAGGGAAUUCCGGACGUGAUAUGAAGAAAUGGUGUGAGGACAAGACCCCCAAGCCUCUCCCUCUACUGAAAGCUGAGUGGGACAGAGAGGGUGUGAAGAAAGACGCCCCCCUCUACCCCUUAGUCCUGAAGAGAGACGAAUUAACCAGUUGAAAGAGAGUGACUCACACUCUCCUCUCUGCUCAUCCAUCCCAUCCGUCAUUCCAUCUGGUUUGUAUUUCUUUGGAUGUUUCUCCACCUCCAGCCUCUGGGUAGUACCAGUGCCAAGGCCCAGAUGGCUGCCGACCCAUCCCCACCACGGAGAGCGUACACUGGGUUGGAAAACGCCUGGGCUUGCCUCUUGGCUGGGGUAUGGAUGGUGGGGUAUGGUUGGGAAGGGAAGGGCGGUCUUGGCUGGUGAUGGGACUCCGGCACUGACGCAACAUCCAGCGAUUAUCCAUCGCAUUCAUUGGUAGUUGAUACCCUCCCUGGGUGUUGCGGCGUGGACAGUGAGAGAGGACGCCACAGACUGGCCAGACGUCGCCUAGAUCAGUAACUGAGACUGGCAUCUCAUGGAACUGGCGCGGGCAUCAGUACCAGACUGGUAAACUGGCAUGAGAAUCUAUUUUAGCAUCUAAAUAGCAUGUGUAAAUGUAAUGGUUUUCAGCUCCAGAAGUGCUGUAUUGUAGUCUGUUUUUAACAGACAAGAGCCAUAUGAUAUCAGGCCGACCUACUUUUAAUGACACACUUGUUUUUGAAGCUCAAAGGGAGUACACACUGGUGAAGGAAGUAUGGCUUAUGUUUGUUUACGUCCAAAUGCUUUGGAGAAAGGUGAAGUGGUCACAUCCUAUGGCAGAUGAUCCUUUCUUUAAGGGAGAGAAGAGAGAGAGAGAGAGAGAGAGAGAGAGAGAGAGAGAGAGAGAGAGACAGAGACAGAGAGAGAGAGAGACAGAGAGACAGAGAGACAGAGAGAGAGAGAGAGAG